UUGUUCUCCAUCCUGUCCCCCAGGCUGAAGGAGUACCACAUAGUGGAAGUCGAGGUGACGGGCGCCAACGGCUUCUCUGUGACCUCUGUGCGGCGUAACCCCGCCCAGCUGGGGGCAGUGACGGGGAGUGCCACCUACGCAUCCUUCUGGAGCAGCUUGCUGGCAUGUAAAGGCCAGAGAGCCGGAGUCUGCCUGUGCUGAGCGAGCUGGAGCCGCUGGCUGUGAACCACGCUUUCUGAAAUUAGGCCUCGCAUACAAAUGGAGUUUUGAAGAAGCUGCAUGACAUUUGUUUCAGGAAGAAUUUGUCUGUCACAGUGUAUCUUAAUAAAACAACUUAUUUGA
Non-coding RNA from Paramormyrops kingsleyae, 342 nucleotides. The record is from RefSeq and is a predicted model, not a curated record. Lineage: Eukaryota; Metazoa; Chordata; Actinopteri; Osteoglossiformes; Mormyridae.